Molecule: transfer RNA, 72 nt
Filed under: Camelus bactrianus (Bactrian camel)
Lineage: Eukaryota; Metazoa; Chordata; Mammalia; Artiodactyla; Camelidae
Also listed under: 3 other names
Rfam family: tRNA
About the family: Transfer RNA (tRNA) molecules are approximately 80 nucleotides in length. Their secondary structure includes four short double-helical elements and three loops (D, anti-codon, and T loops).
Source: Rfam by way of RNAcentral
AGGGAAAUAGCUUGGUGGUAGAGUGCAAGCUUAGCAUGCAUGAGGUCCUGGGUUCAAUCCCCAGCACCUCCA